This 455-nucleotide ribosomal RNA is filed under the name uncultured bacterium. RNAcentral describes it as "bacterial SSU rRNA". It matches the Rfam family "Bacterial small subunit ribosomal RNA", at positions 340 to 784 of the family's 1533-position model. The record is from RNAcentral.
UACGGAAGGCAGCAGUGGGGAAUAUUGCACAAUGGGCGCAAGCCUGAUGCAGCCAUGCCGCGUGUAUGAAGAAGGCCUUCGGGUUGUAAAGUACUUUCAGCGGGGAGGAAGGCGGUGGAGUUAAUAGCUUCACCGAUUGACGUUACCCGCAGAAGAAGCACCGGCUAACUCCGUGCCAGCAGCCGCGGUAAUACGGAGGGUGCAAGCGUUAAUCGGAAUUACUGGGCGUAAAAGCGCACGCAGGCGGUCUGUCAAGUCGGAUGUGAAAUCCCCGGGCUUAACCUGGGAACUGCAUUCGAAACUGGCAGGCUAGAGUCUUGUAGAGGGGGUAGAAUUCCGAGGUGUAGCGGUGAAAUGCGUAGAGAUCUGGAGGAAUACCGGGUGGCGAAGGCGGCCCCUGGGACAAGACUGACGCUCAGGUGCGAAAGCGUGGGGAGCAAACGAGGAUUAGGAUA